GUAGUUGACUCCGUGCUCAGGACGACGCUGGCGGCGUGCUUAACACAUGCAAGUCGAACGGAAAGGCCCUUCGGGGUACUCGAGUGGCGAACGGGUGAGUAACACGUGGGUGAUCUGCCCUGCACUUUGGGAUAAGCCUGGGAAACUGGGUCUAAUACCGAAUAGGACCACGCGCUUCAUGGUGUGUGGUGGAAAGCUUUUGCGGUGUGGGAUGGGCCCGCGGCCUAUCAGCUUGUUGGUGGGGUAAUGGCCUACCAAGGCGACGACGGGUAGCCGGCCUGAGAGGGUGACCGGCCACACUGGGACUGAGAUACGGCCCAGACUCCUACGGGAGGCAGCAGUGGGGAAUAUUGCACAAUGGGCGCAAGCCUGAUGCAGCGACGCCGCGUGAGGGAUGACGGCCUUCGGGGUUGUAAACCUCUUUCAAUAGGGACGAAGCGCAAGUGACGGUACCUAUAGAAGAAGCACCGGCCAACUACGUG
Molecule: ribosomal RNA, 482 nt
Filed under: uncultured Mycobacterium sp.
Lineage: Bacteria; Bacillati; Actinomycetota; Actinomycetes; Mycobacteriales; Mycobacteriaceae
Description: bacterial SSU rRNA
Rfam family: Bacterial small subunit ribosomal RNA
Source: RNAcentral